GUUAUAUGGUUAAGUGAAUAAGUGCAUACGGUGGAUGCCUUGGCGACAACAGGCGAUGAAGGACGUGAAAAUCUGCGAAAAGCCACGGGGAGCUGAUAAUAGGCAUUAUAUCCGUGGAUAUCCGAAUGGGGAAACCCACCGCUUCGGCGGUAUCCCAUGCUGAAUACAUAGGCAUGUGGAGGCGAACCCGGGGAACUGAAACAUCUAAGUACCCGGAGGAAAAGAAAUCAACCGAGAUUCUGUUAGUAGCGGCGAGCGAACGCGGAGUAGCCCUUAAGGUUGUAUUAAGUUAGUGGAAGCUUCUGGGAAGUGGCGCGAUACAGGGUGAUAGCCCCGUACACGAAAACUUUUUACAGCUGAAAUCGAGUAGGACGGGACACGUGAAAUCCUGUUUGAAUAUGGGGGGACCAUCCUCCAAGGCUAAAUACUCGUUGUCGACCGAUAGUGAACCAGUACCGUGAGGGAAAGGCGAAAAGAACCCCUGUGAGGGGAGUGAAAUAGAACCUGAAACCGUAUGCAUACAAGCAGUGGGAGCAUCCAUGUGAUGUGACUGCGUACCUUUUGUAUAAUGGGUCAGCGACUUAAUUUCAGUAGCGAGCUUAACCGGAUAGGGGAGGCGUAGCGAAAGCGAGUCUUAAUAGGGCGUAUAGUUGCUGGGAUUAGACCCGAAACCGGGCGAUCUAGCCAUGGGCAGGUUGAAGGUUGAGUAACAUCAACUGGAGGACCGAACCCACUAAUGUUGAAAAAUUAGGGGAUGACCUGUGGCUUGGAGUGAAAGGCUAAACAAGCUCGGAGAUAGCUGGUUCUCCUCGAAAGCUAUUGAGGUAGCGCCUUGUGGUGACACUGUUGGGGGUAGAGCACUGUUAUGGCUAGGGGGUCAUACCGAUUUACCAAACCAUUGCAAACUCCGAAUACCAACAAGUGAUACACAGGAGACACACGGCGGGUGCUAACGUCCGUCGUGGAGAGGGAAACAACCCAGACCGUCAGCUAAGGUCCCAAAGUUUGUGUUAAGUGGGAAACGAUGUGGGAAGGCAUAGACAGCUAGGAGGUUGGCUUAGAAGCAGCCAUCCUUUAAAGAAAGCGUAAUAGCUCACUAGUCGAGUCGUCCUGCGCGGAAGAUUUACCGGGGCUCAAACACAACACCGAAGCUACGGGAUGUCAUUAGACAUCGGUAGAGGAGCGUUCUGUAGGCUGAUGAAGGUGUCUCGUAAGGGAUGCUGGAGGUAUCAGAAGUGCGAAUGCUGACAUAAGUAACGAUAAAGGGAGUGAAAAACUCCCUCGCCGAAAACCCAAGGUUUCCUACGCAACGUUAAUCGGCGUAGGGUUAGUCGGCCCCUAAGGCGAGGCAGAAAUGCGUAGUCGAUGGGAAUCAGGUUAAUAUUCCUGGACUUUUAAUUACUGCGAUGGGGGGACGGAGAAAGCUAAACCAGAACACUAUCGGAUGUGUAUCUAAGCAGGUAGGCAGAAUCUUUAGGCAAAUCCGGAGAUUUAAUGCUGAGAUGUGAUGGCGACGAUUAUUGCAAUCGGAGUGGUUGAUGCUAUGCUUCCAAGAAAAGCCUCUAAGCUUCAGGUAAUUAAGAACCGUACCCCAAACCGACACAGGUGGGUGGGAUGAGAAUUCUAAGGCGCUUGAGAGAACUCGGGUGAAGGAACUCGGCAAAAUGGUACCGUAACUUCGGGAGAAGGUACGCCCCUGAUGGUGAAUGAAUACUCAGUAAGCUAUUGGGGGCCGCAGAGACCAGGUGGCUGCGACUGUUUAUCAAAAACACAGCACUCUGCAAACACGAAAGUGGACGUAUAGGGUGUGACGCCUGCCCGGUGCCGGAAGGUUAAUUGAUGGGGUGCAAGCUCUUGAUCGAAGCCCCGGUAAACGGCGGCCGUAACUAUAACGGUCCUAAGGUAGCGAAAUUCCUUGUCGGGUAAGUUCCGACCUGCACGAAUGGCGUAACGAUGGCCACACUGUCUCCACCCGAGACUCAGUGAAAUUGAAAUCGCGGUUAAGAUGCCGUGUACCCGCACCAAGACGGAAAGACCCCGUGCACCUUUACUAUAGCUUGGCACUGAACUUUGCACCUACAUGUGUAGGAUAGCUGGGAGGCUUUGAAGUGGGGACGCUAGUUCUCAUGGAGCCGUCGUUGAAAUACCAGCCUUGUAUGUGUGGAGUUCUAACUUAGGUCCGUCAUCCGGAUCGAGGACAGUGUCUGGUGGGUAGUUUGACUGGGGCGGUCUCCUCCUAAAGCGUAACGGAGGAGCACGAAGGUAACCUAAUCACGGUCGGAAAUCGUGAGGUUUGUGCAAAGGCAUAAGGUUGCUUGACUGCGAGACAGACAAGUCGAGCAGGUACGAAAGUAGGUCUUAGUGAUCCGGUGGCUCUGUAUGGAAGGGCCAUCGCUCAACGGAUAAAAGGUACGCCGGGGAUAACAGGCUGAUACUGCCCAAGAGUUCAUAUCGACGGCAGUGUUUGGCACCUCGAUGUCGGCUCAUCACAUCCUGGGGCUGUAGCAGGUCCCAAGGGUAUGGCUGUUCGCCAUUUAAAGUGGUACGCGAGCUGGGUUCAGAACGUCGUGAGACAGUUCGGUCCCUAUCUGGUGUGGGCGUUGGAGAUUUGAGGGAAGCUGCUCUUAGUACGAGAGGACCGGAGUGGACGAACCACUGGUGUUCCAGUUGUAUCGCCAGAUGCAUUGCUGGGUAGCUACGUUCGGACGGGAUAACCGCUGAAAGCAUCUAAGCGGGAAGCCCCUCCCAAGAUAAGAUCUCCCUAGACCCUUGAGGUCUCUAAAGAUCCGUUGUAGACCACAACGUUGAUAGGCUCCGUGUGGAAGUGCAGUAAUGUAUGCAGCUAAGGAGUACUAAUUGAUCGUGAGGCUUAACCAUAUAACGCUUA
This 2887-nucleotide ribosomal RNA is filed under the name Ostreibacterium oceani. RNAcentral's name for it is "Cardiobacteriales bacterium ML27 23S ribosomal RNA". It matches the Rfam family "Bacterial large subunit ribosomal RNA". Lineage: Bacteria; Pseudomonadati; Pseudomonadota; Gammaproteobacteria; Cardiobacteriales; Ostreibacteriaceae. The record is from RNAcentral.